GUCGGUGCUGAUUGCGGUGAGGGUCCACCCGUUCCCAUUCCGAACACGGCAGUUAAGCUCACUUGCGCCGAAAAUACUUGCCUGGAGACGGGCCGGGAAGAUAGGUAGUGCCGACA
This is a ribosomal RNA of Intestinimonas butyriciproducens, 116 nucleotides long. The record is from Rfam. Lineage: Bacteria; Bacillati; Bacillota; Clostridia; Eubacteriales.